This 301-nucleotide ribosomal RNA is filed under the name uncultured bacterium. RNAcentral's name for it is "partial 16S ribosomal RNA". It matches the Rfam family "Bacterial small subunit ribosomal RNA", at positions 509 to 807 of the family's 1533-position model. The record is from RNAcentral.
CAGUCGCCGCGGGAAUACGAAGGGGGCUAGCGUUGCUCGGAAUGACUGGGCGUAAAGGGCGCGUAGGCGGCGAUCAAAGUCAGGCGUGAAAUUCCUGGGCUCAACCUGGGGGCUGCGUUUGAUACUUGGUUACUAGAGUGAGGAAGAGGGUCGUGGAAUUCCCAGUGUAGAGGUGAAAUUCGUAGAUAUUGGGAAGAACACCGGUGGCGAAGGCGGCGACCUGGUCCUUGACUGACGCUGAGGCGCGAAAGCGUGGGGAGCAAACAGGAUUAGAUACCCGCGUAGUCCCUGUCUCUUAUAC